UACGUAGGGACCAAGCGUUGUUCGGAUUUACUGGGCGUAAAGGGCGCGUAGGCGGCAAUUCAAGUCAUCUGUGAAAUCUCCGGGCUUAACUCGGAACGGUCAGGUGAAACUGCUUUGCUAGAGUGCGGAAGGGGCAAUCGGAAUUCUCGGUGUAGCGGUGAAAUGCGUAGAUAUCGAGAGGAACACCUGAGGUGAAGACGGGUUGCUGGGCCGACACUGACGCUGAAGCGCGAAAGCCAGGGGAGCAAACGGG
RNAcentral lists this ribosomal RNA (253 nucleotides) under uncultured bacterium. Its description in RNAcentral is "partial 16S ribosomal RNA". It matches the Rfam family "Bacterial small subunit ribosomal RNA", at positions 524 to 776 of the family's 1533-position model. The record is from RNAcentral.